This 77-nucleotide transfer RNA is filed under the name Burkholderia sp. Bp9125. Its description in RNAcentral is "tRNA-Val". It matches the Rfam family "tRNA". Rfam says of the family: Transfer RNA (tRNA) molecules are approximately 80 nucleotides in length. Their secondary structure includes four short double-helical elements and three loops (D, anti-codon, and T loops). Further hydrogen bonds mediate the characteristic L-shaped molecular structure. tRNAs have two regions of fundamental functional importance: the anti-codon, which is responsible for specific mRNA codon recognition, and the 3' end, to which the tRNAs corresponding amino acid is attached (by aminoacyl-tRNA synthetases). tRNAs cope with the degeneracy of the genetic code in two manners: having more than one tRNA (with a specific anti-codon) for a particular amino acid; and 'wobble' base-pairing, i.e. permitting non-standard base-pairing at the 3rd anti-codon position. The record is from RNAcentral. Lineage: Bacteria; Pseudomonadati; Pseudomonadota; Betaproteobacteria; Burkholderiales; Burkholderiaceae.
GCAUCCUUAGCUCAGCUGGUAGAGCGGCGCUCUUACAAAGCGUAGGCCGGAGGUUCGAACCCAUCCAGGAUGCACCA